This 119-nucleotide ribosomal RNA is filed under the name Ricinus communis (castor bean). The record is from RNAcentral. Lineage: Eukaryota; Viridiplantae; Streptophyta; Magnoliopsida; Malpighiales; Euphorbiaceae.
GGGUGCAAUUAUACCAGCACUAAUGCACCGAAUCCCAUUAGAACUCCGAAGUUAAACUUGCUUGGGCGAGAGUAGUACUAAGAUGGGUGACCUCUUGGGAAGUCCUCGUGUUGCACCCC